GACGAACGCUGGCGGCGCGCCUAACACACGCAAGUCGAACGGAGCUUAAAGAGCUUGCUUUUUAAGCUUAGUGGCGAACGGGUGAGUAACGCGUGAGUAACCUGCCCUGGAGUGGGGGACAACAGUUGGAAACGACUGCUAAUACCGCAUAAGCCCACGGAUCCGCAUGGAUCUGCGGGAAAAGGAUUUAUUCGCUUCAGGAUGGACUCGCGUCCAAUUAGCUAGUUGGUGAGGUAACGGCCCACCAAGGCGACGAUUGGUAGCCGGACUGAGAGGUUGAACGGCCACAUUGGGACUGAGACACGGCCCACACUCCUACGGGAGGCAGCAGUGGGGGAUAUUGCACAAUGGGGGAAACCCUGAUGCAGCGACGCCGCGUGGAGGAAGAAGGUUUUCGGAUUGUAAACUCCUGUCGUUAGGGACGAUAAUGACGGUACCUAACAAGAAAGCACCGGCUAACUACGUGCCAGCAGCCGCGGUAAAACGUAGGGUGCGAGCGUUGUCCGGAAUUACUGGGUGUAAAGGGAGCGCAGGCGGAUCGGCAAGUUGGAAGUGAAAACUAUGGGCUCAACCCAUAAAUUGCUUUCAAAACUGCUGGCCUUGAGUAGUGCAGAGGUAGGUGGAAUUCCCGGUGUAGCGGGGGGAAUGCGUAGAUAUCGGGAGGAACACCAGUGGCGAAAGCGACCUACUGGGCACCAACUGAAGCUGAGGCUCGAAAGCAUGGGUAGCAAACAGGAUUAGAUACCCUGGUAGUCCAUGCCGUAAACGAUGAUUACUAGGUGUUGGAGGAUUGACCCCUUCAGUGCCGCAGUUAACACAAUAAGUAAUCCACCUGGGGAGUACGACCGCAAGGUUGAAACUCAAAGGAAUUGACGGGGGCCCGCACAAGCAGUGGAGUAUGUGGUUUAAUUCGAAGCAACGCGAAGAACCUUACCAGGUCUUGACAUCCGAUGCAUAGUGCAGAGAUGCAUGAAGUCCUUCGGGACAUCGAGACAGGUGGUGCAUGGUUGUCGUCAGCUCGUGUCGUGAGAUGUUGGGUUAAGUCCCGCAACGAGCGCAACCCUUAUUGCCAGUUACUACGCAAGAGGACUCUGGCGAGACUGCCGUUGACAAAACGGAGGAAGGUGGGGAUGACGUCAAAUCAUCAUGCCCUUUAUGACCUGGGCUACACACGUACUACAAUGGCGUUUAACAAAGAGAAGCAAGACCGCGAGGUGGAGCAAAACUCAAAAACAACGUCUCAGUUCAGAUUGCAGGCUGCAACUCGCCUGCAUGAAGUCGGAAUUGCUAGUAAUCGCGGAUCAGCAUGCCGCGGUGAAUACGUUCCCGGGCCUUGCAC
RNAcentral lists this ribosomal RNA (1339 nucleotides) under uncultured bacterium. RNAcentral describes it as "16S ribosomal RNA". It matches the Rfam family "Bacterial small subunit ribosomal RNA", at positions 28 to 1386 of the family's 1533-position model. The record is from RNAcentral.